GGACCCGCACAAGCGGUGGAGCAUGUGGUUUAAUUCGAUGAUACGCGAGGAACCUUACCAGGACUUAAAUGUAAGUUGCAUGAUUCAGAAAUGAAUCUUUCUUCGGACUACUUACAAGGUGCUGCAUGGUUGUCGUCAGCUCGUGCCGUGAGGUGUCAGGUUAAGUCCUAUAACGAGCGCAACCCCUAUCGUUAGUUGCCAUCAAGUAAAGUUGGGAACUCUAGCGAAACUGCCGGUGUAAACCGAGAGGAAGGUGGGGAUGACGUCAAAUCAUCACGGCCCUUACGUUCUGGGCUACACACGUGCUACAAUGGCCGGUACAGAAAGCAGCCACUAUGCGAAUAGGAGCGAAUCUAUAAAACCGGUCUCAGUUCGGAUCGCAGUCUGCAACUCGACUGCGUGAAGCUGGAAUCGCUAGUAAUCGG
Molecule: ribosomal RNA, 425 nt
Filed under: uncultured bacterium
Lineage: Bacteria
Description: bacterial SSU rRNA
Rfam family: Bacterial small subunit ribosomal RNA
Source: RNAcentral